GUGGGGAAUAUUGGACAAUGGGCGAAAGCCUGAUCCAGCCAUGCCGCGUGAGUGAUGAAGGCCUUAGGGUUGUAAAGCUCUUUCAGUGGGGACGAUAAUGACGGUACCCACAGAAGAAGCCCCGGCUAACUUCGUGCCAGCAGCCGCGGUAAUACGAAGGGGGCUAGCGUUGUUCGGAUUUACUGGGCGUAAAGCGCACGUAGGCGGAUCGUUAAGUCAGGGGUGAAAUCCUGGAGCUCAACUCCAGAACUGCCUUUGAUACUGGCGAUCUAGAGUCCGGAAGAGGUGAGUGGAACUCCUAGUGUAGAGGUGGAAUUCGUAGAUAUUAGGAAGAACACCAGUGGCGAAGGCGGCUCACUGGCUCGAUACUGACGCUGAGGUGCGAAAGCGUGGGGAGCAAACAGGAUUAGAAACCCUGGUAGUCC
This 425-nucleotide ribosomal RNA is filed under the name uncultured bacterium. Its description in RNAcentral is "partial 16S ribosomal RNA". It matches the Rfam family "Bacterial small subunit ribosomal RNA", at positions 354 to 796 of the family's 1533-position model. The record is from RNAcentral.